ACUCCCUGGCAAUGGGCAAAGAGACAUGUUGGUAGUGUUGUUUUCAUAUCAGUCAGGGGCAGAGCAGAUGGCAGUCCUUUGUUCAUCCUAGCUUGAUGUCUGGCUUGGUGGCCAAAGCUGCUUUAUGCCUAGGACAAAUAA
This is a small nucleolar RNA of Grammomys surdaster, 141 nucleotides long. RefSeq annotates it as small nucleolar RNA SNORA48. Lineage: Eukaryota; Metazoa; Chordata; Mammalia; Rodentia; Muridae. The transcript has a single exon. The record is from RefSeq and is a predicted model, not a curated record.